AUGGGACAACAUCCCUAAUGCGCCUUGAAAUGAGGAACUCAAAAGUCAUGUGUAAAGAAAAAAUCUCUGUGUAGUGAUAUUGGACAUGUUUCUAUUUUUAACAAAUGACUGAACUUAAUUAUUUGUGGUGAUUAGGAAAGUAGAGGAACAUAGAAUAAAUGUGUAAAAACUAUGGAGCUAUUGAAUGUGUUCAAAGUAUUAAAUUUUCAAAGAACUUAUUGUGUUAAAAAGUGGAUAUUUUACCACAAGGAGCCGCAUCACAAAAGGAUGUUCGGGGUUUGCUAAUUUACGGAAAAAGCAAUCUCACUUCGUACCCCGAAAAUUUAACCACAUAUGUGAAAAUGUCACAGCUUCGAAACGAGCUAUCAUACAUAUCCAAGUUUACGAUAUGGACUGAUCUACAGGAAAAAACGUUACCAUUAUCGCCUAUGGGAAAACAAUUAAAGAUAUUGAGCCAAUUUACAAAAAGAUAAAUCAGAAGUUUCCAGAGUGAUCUAUGGAUGAUUUCACCUUGUACACCCGGGAAAAUUGUGAAAAUGAUGUUCCAGACAUAUCAUUACUUUUUAACCUGAGAUGACAAACUAGAGGUGUUAAAAGGUCCUGAAUAACUGAAAUGGACAAAAAUACACAGAUUUAUUCAGAAUGUCAUACCUAUGAAGAUCACAUAAAAAUAUUUGGAAAAAUCAGAACUAUGGAUUGCAAUAUGGGACAACAUCCCUAAUGCGCCUUGAAAUGAGGAACUCAAAAGUCAUGUGUAAAGAAAAAAUCUCUGUGUAGUGAUAUUGGACAUGUUUCUAUUUUUAACAAAUGACUGAACUUAAUUAUUUGUGGUGAUUAGGAAAGUAGAGGAACAUAGAAUAAAUGUGUAAAAACUAUGGAGCUAUUGAAUGUGUUCAAAGUAUUAAAUUUUCAAAGAACUUAUUGUGUUAAAAAGUGGAUAUUUUACCACAAGGAGCCGCAUCACAAAAGGAUGUUCGGGGUUUGCUAAUUUACGGAAAAAGCAAUCUCACUUCGUACCCCGAAAAUUUAACCACAUAUGUGAAAAUGUCACAGCUUCGAAACGAGCUAUCAUACAUAUCCAAGUUUACGAUAUGGACUGAUCUACAGGAAAAAACGUUACCAUUAUCGCCUAUGGGAAAACAAUUAAAGAUAUUGAGCCAAUUUACAAAAAGAUAAAUCAGAAGUUUCCAGAGUGAUCUAUGGAUGAUUUCACCUUGUACACCCGGGAAAAUUGUGAAAAUGAUGGUAAGUAUUUUUUUAUUUAUACCUAGAUAUCCCAGAUGAUUUCAGAUAACCAUUAUAGAUAAAUACCAGCAGAUACUCAAUGAAAUUUUCGCUUUUAGAAAGCAUUGCAGGCACGGGGCUGAACACUUUUUUUAGGCACAAUUCAAACUUUGUUUACACCCCUGAGAGAUCCGAAAGGAAUUUGUUUAUGAAUUGAAAAAGGCAUGAACUAACAUAAUAGUUUUAUCUGUAAGUAAACAUGACACAAUACAGUCUUUGUUAUGUAAUUAUCACUCCGGUUUACAGGAAUAACUGAUAAUCAAGGGAGAUAACACACUCCAUACGAGUAAAGUGAAAUACAUCAUCAUCAUGUGCUUUUAUCCAAUAAUUUGACCCAUGUUCCAGACAUAUCAUUACUUUUUAACCUGAGAUGACAAACUAGAGGUGUUAAAAGGUCCUGAAUAACUGAAAUGGACAAAAAUACACAGAUUUAUUCAGAAUGUCAUACCUAUGAAGAUCACAUAAAAAUAUUUGGAAAAAUCAGAACUAUGGAUUGCAAUAUGGGACAACAUCCCUAAUGCGCCUUGAAAUGAGGAACUCAAAAGUCAUGUGUAAAGAAAAAAUCUCUGUGUAGUGAUAUUGGACAUGUUUCUAUUUUUAACAAAUGACUGAACUUAAUUAUUUGUGGUGAUUAGGAAAGUAGAGGAACAUAGAAUAAAUGUGUAAAAACUAUGGAGCUAUUGAAUGUGUUCAAAGUAUUAAAUUUUCAAAGAACUUAUUGUGUUAAAAAGUGGAUAUUUUACCACAAGGAGCCGCAUCACAAAAGGAUGUUCGGGGUUUGCUAAUUUACGGAAAAAGCAAUCUCACUUCGUACCCCGAAAAUUUAACCACAUAUGUGAAAAUGUCACAGCUUCGAAACGAGCUAUCAUACAUAUCCAAGUUUACGAUAUGGACUGAUCUACAGGAAAAAACGUUACCAUUAUCGCCUAUGGGAAAACAAUUAAAGAUAUUGAGCCAU
Mytilus trossulus (common blue mussel) is the source of this 2242-nucleotide long non-coding RNA. RefSeq lists it as uncharacterized. The record is from RefSeq and is a predicted model, not a curated record. Lineage: Eukaryota; Metazoa; Mollusca; Bivalvia; Mytilida; Mytilidae. The transcript has 5 exons.